RNAcentral lists this long non-coding RNA (580 nucleotides) under Anas platyrhynchos platyrhynchos (common mallard). RNAcentral describes it as "lncRNA (ENSAPLG00000024797.1)". Lineage: Eukaryota; Metazoa; Chordata; Aves; Anseriformes; Anatidae. The record is from RNAcentral.
GAGCACUCCUGGCUUUUUCAUUUCACUUGUCCAUCUUUUCCUCACUUCUGAGGUAUUGUUAUCUCUAAUAAAAGCACUUACACCUACUGCUGGUGGUUCUGUUUGUGAAAAAAAAAUGACAUUUCUGGCGCAUGAGAAUGGUCAUGUGAAGUCAGAGAAGACAUGUAACUCUCCUGAUUAAUGUAUUUGUAUAAUUAAUAAUUUUGUGGACUGCCUCUGGGGACUAAAAUGUAAUAAGAUUCAUGAACUGUAUGAUCAUCAAACUUCUCCAGUGAUCUCCUACCUUUACCGAUAUGCUCUGUCUCAUUUUGCCCUGCAAUAGAGAGGCUGUGACAGACAUCUCACUCAGAACAGCGUCAAAGAGCCCCGAAAGGCUUUAUUCCCUGGCUUCUUGCUCUGACAGUUGGCUGACUCUCUGAGAAAUGAGAAGUGGUAGAAAAUUCUCCUAAAGUAUUUCUGAAGACAAAGAAAAACUUGAGAAUUGUCUCGGAAGAUUUUUUCCACCUGAGCUGAACUGUUAAACCUGAUGUCUGACAGGUAAAUUAAUAAAAGAGGGUGGCUAGGUUCUGUCUGUUAGUAA